This 270-nucleotide long non-coding RNA is filed under the name Linum usitatissimum (flax). RNAcentral describes it as "long non-coding RNA (LUSI_LNC003986)". Lineage: Eukaryota; Viridiplantae; Streptophyta; Magnoliopsida; Malpighiales; Linaceae. The record is from RNAcentral.
UAUGUUCCAUAUAAUGUGGAGGCACCAUUCUUGAACAAUUCAACAAAAGAUCAAUAGAAAAAUCCAUUCAACUUUUUGCAAGCAAACUGUCGUGGCUAGCUUGGGUCACAUGCGUCCAUGAAGUAGUGGGCUGGUGCAGGUGAGUGAAUCGGCAUGGUUGGUUAUGUGGGCUUUGAGGCCUAUCAUUACUCCCUCUGAAACAUCAGCCGUGUCCACAAUGUCGAGUUAAGAAAACUGUUCAUGGAAGACGGUAGCCAAUUCCAAAGUAGC